CGCUGAGCAUGUUCCAAGACCUCUCCACAUCUGCAGCAGAGAAGCGGAUGAGAUCAAGACCUUCCGGAGAAGCUGCUGUGAAUGGCACGACUGCAGCCUUCUCCAGGAGCUGAAUGCCUGCUGUUGGAAAAGCAGGGCUUAGGUCCACUCCCCCGGUACCCGUGCAGCCCUUGUGCAGACCCUCCAGCCCGCGGAGACGGGAGCCACACUGCGGUCCUCCCUCCAGGGCCCAGCAACCUCUGGCCUAACUCUUACCCAGGGUUAAGUUCUGCAUGACUCCCCUUCUCAUGAUUGUACCAGCCUGACUCUACGGCCGUCAUACGGGAAGUGCCCACGCCUUGGACAUGCUCUUAACUGUGACCAGCAUACGCUUCAACCAGCGAGGCACUGCCUCUCCAUA
This is a long non-coding RNA of Manis javanica (Malayan pangolin), 400 nucleotides long. RefSeq lists it as uncharacterized. Lineage: Eukaryota; Metazoa; Chordata; Mammalia; Pholidota; Manidae. The record is from RefSeq and is a predicted model, not a curated record.